UCACUUUGGCAGUGAAAAUUGGAAAAAUACACAGAUUAGCACAGUUCCUGUGCAAGGAUAAUGUACAAAUUCAUAGUGUUCCAUAUAUUU
This 90-nucleotide small nuclear RNA is filed under the name Chinchilla lanigera (long-tailed chinchilla). Lineage: Eukaryota; Metazoa; Chordata; Mammalia; Rodentia; Chinchillidae. The record is from RNAcentral.